GUGCCAGCCGCCGCGGUAAUACGGAGGGUGCAAGCGUUGUUCGGAAUUACUGGGCGUAAAGGGCGCGUAGGCGGCUUGAUAAGUCAGAUGUGAAAGUCCAUGGCUCAACUGUGGAAGUGCAUUUGAAACUGUCUCGCUUGAGUAUCGGAGGGGAGUGUGGAAUUCCCGGUGUAGAGGUGAAAUUCGUAGAGAUCGGGAGGAACACCUGUGGCGAAGGCGACACUCUGGACGAAUACUGACGCUGAGGCGCGAAAGCGUGGGGAGCAAACAGGAUUAGAAACCCGGGUAGUCC
Molecule: ribosomal RNA, 292 nt
Filed under: uncultured bacterium
Lineage: Bacteria
Description: partial 16S ribosomal RNA
Rfam family: Bacterial small subunit ribosomal RNA
Source: RNAcentral